Molecule: transfer RNA, 117 nt
Organism: Pseudozyma hubeiensis SY62
Lineage: Eukaryota; Fungi; Basidiomycota; Ustilaginomycetes; Ustilaginales; Ustilaginaceae
Rfam family: tRNA
About the family: Transfer RNA (tRNA) molecules are approximately 80 nucleotides in length. Their secondary structure includes four short double-helical elements and three loops (D, anti-codon, and T loops).
Source: Rfam
GGCCCUAUAGCUCAGUGGUAGAGCGUCGGCUUCCAGCUAUAAAAUUGGCGAAAAUGUUAGAUUUGGACCCAAUCUUGAGCGUUCCGAAGGUCUUCCGUUCGAUCCGGGAUGGGGUCA